This 52-nucleotide microRNA precursor is filed under the name Equus asinus (donkey). Its description in RNAcentral is "mir-1302 microRNA precursor family". It matches the Rfam family "mir-1302 microRNA precursor family". Lineage: Eukaryota; Metazoa; Chordata; Mammalia; Perissodactyla; Equidae. RNAcentral also lists the same sequence under 1 other name. The record is from Rfam by way of RNAcentral.
UUUUUAGUAGAAGUAUAUCCCAUAUAAUAUUUGUGACAUAUUUAUACUAAAA